AUUGAACGCUGGCGGCAGGCCUAACACAUGCAAGUCGAACGCGUUGCGUACGGGUGAGUAAUGUCUGGGAAACUGCCUGAUGGAGGGGGAUAACUACUGGAAACGGUAGCUAAUACCGCAUACCAUCAGAUGUGCCCAGAUGGGAUUAGCUAGUAGGUGGGGUAAAGGCGCACCUAGGCGACGAUCCCUAGAUGGUCUGAGCGGAUGACCAGCAAACCUGGAACUGAGAUACGGUCCAGACUCCUACGGGAGGCAGCAGUGGGGAAUAUUGCACAAUGGGCGCAAGCCUGAUGCAGCCAUGCCGCGUGUAUGAAGAAGGCCUUCGGGUUGUAAAGUACUUUCAGCGGGGAGGCGUUACCCGCAGAAGAAGCACCGGCUAACUCCGUGCCAGCCGCCGCGGUAAUUC
Molecule: ribosomal RNA, 406 nt
Filed under: uncultured bacterium
Lineage: Bacteria
Description: partial 16S ribosomal RNA
Rfam family: Bacterial small subunit ribosomal RNA
Source: RNAcentral